UGACCUUAAUCGGGCCUGGAGUUUUAUUUUAGAUGAAGUUCUGAACUAUAUAUUCACUAAUUUCAUUGCACAACUCUGGAGGUUUUCUGGUGUUUGAGUGUGAAUUGGGAAAAUCUCCGUCAUUCCAAUGAACUCCCCCUUCCUCUAAGUUGGUGAAUAAUAAUAUCCUUUACUUCUUUGUAUUUGAGGCUCCAUUAAGAUCUUCAACUCUGGACCUCAGACUCAGCAAACAUAUCCACUUCUCUUCCUGUCAGGCUCCGUGGAAAGUGUGCCUGGAAAAGAGGCUGCAGCUUUCACAGGCCACAGACAGACACUUGCUGACUACAGGAUUCCAUUAGCUUUCUCCUGUCAAUGACAGCCUGCUCUCCAAACAGGCCUGUGUUCCAGCUGAUAUCCUUCCUAUGUUGCUCACAAAACCAGGCCUGAUGUCGCCCACCAUGCCUGCAGGACGCCCUUGAUCUCAGAGACAUCACUUCUGGGUUCUUUUUAUAGAAGUCUAGAUUUCAUCUCCAUAGGAUCUGUCCAACGAGCCAAUAAAUUUAAUGAUUUUGAACUCUCCGUUUGUUCUCCUAGACGUAUGGCGCUUUUCCUGUUAUGCCUUCCUGAGACAGUUCGGACUUAGUCUCAUUGCUGGAUCAAGUGCCUGCAGUACCCACAGAGGUCAAAAGAGGGCAUCAGAUCCUCCGGAAAUGGAGUUACAGACUUGAGAGUGUCUGGAGUAAGUGCUAGGAAAGAAACUCAGGUCCUCUGUGAGAGAACCAAGUGCUCUUAAUCUCUGAGCCAUCUCCCAAGCCACUAUUUCAUUGAUUUAAAAACUGUAUUUUAAGAUAGCAUCAUGGAGCCCAGGUUGACUUCAAGUUCCCCUUACAGCCAAGAAUAACCAUUAAUUGUUGCUUCUCCUGCAUCUGCAUCCUGAAUGCCUAGUGUAUUGAUAGCAGACUAUUUCCUCUUUAAAUGAGUGCAUGAUGUCUCUCAGAGAAUCUAUGAAAUCCAUCACUAUACUUCAAACUGACUUACUGUGAUACAACUUAAUAAUGACUUUGCAGAAGCCUCAAUCACACAUCACAGCUGUGUUAGAGCACUGCUGCUCAAGAGCUUCACUGAAGAGCACGGAUGUGCAAGAUUUUACUCCCCAGUGCAAAACUAAGAAAGAGUAUGAGAAGCUUUGCUUUAUCUUUGCUGGAAAGACAACAUGCGACUCAGACUUUGGCUUCUACCAAAGUUAAAUGUUUAAGGUA
Long non-coding RNA from Peromyscus californicus insignis, 1238 nucleotides. RefSeq lists it as uncharacterized. The record is from RefSeq and is a predicted model, not a curated record. Lineage: Eukaryota; Metazoa; Chordata; Mammalia; Rodentia; Cricetidae. The transcript has 4 exons.